UGUGGUCAUCUGUUGAGUAUCCUUACGGGCUUUUCACAGAUGGCCUUCGUUUAACACGAAAAAUAGGAGUGUGCCAAUGGCCCGUAUAGCCGGCAUUAACAUUCCUGAU
This is a regulatory RNA element of Agarivorans albus MKT 106, 109 nucleotides long. It matches the Rfam family "Alpha operon ribosome binding site". From Rfam's summary of the family: The bacterial alpha operon ribosome binding site is surrounded by this complex pseudoknotted structure. Translation of the mRNA produces 4 ribosomal protein products, one of which (S4) acts as a translational repressor by binding to the nested pseudoknot region. Lineage: Bacteria; Pseudomonadati; Pseudomonadota; Gammaproteobacteria; Alteromonadales; Alteromonadaceae. The record is from Rfam.